RNAcentral lists this ribosomal RNA (1405 nucleotides) under metagenome. RNAcentral's name for it is "bacterial SSU rRNA". It matches the Rfam family "Bacterial small subunit ribosomal RNA", at positions 8 to 1383 of the family's 1533-position model. The record is from RNAcentral.
AGGGUUUGAUCCUGGCUCAGAAUGAACGUUGGCGGCGUGGAUUAGGCAUGCAAGUCGCGCGAUAACUCAUGGGAUUGAAGCUUCGGUUGAUUUCCCGGAGGGACAGCGGCGAAAGGGAGAGUAACGCGUAGUUACCUACCCCAGGGCCUGGGAUAGCCGCGGGAAACUGCGGGUAAUACCGGAUGAUAUCUGCUUCCUUUCGAGGAGGCGGAUCAAAGGUGAGAUUCCGCCCUGGGAGGGGACUGCGUCCUACUAGCUUGUUGGUGGGGUAAUGGCCUACCAAGGCAUUGAUGGGUAGCGGGCGUGAGAGCGUGGCCCGCCUCACUGGGACUAAGACACUGCCCAGACACCUACGGGUGGCUGCAGUCGAGAAUCUUCGGCAAUGGACGAAAGUCUGACCGAGCGACGCCGCGUGCGGGAUGAAGGCCUUCGGGUUGUAAACCGCUGUCAGUUGGGAGGAAAUCUGGUGGGGUUCUCCCCUCCAGUUGACCUAUCUUCAGAGGAAGUCCGGGCUAAGUUCGUGCAGCAGCCGCGGUAAGACGAACCGGACAAACGUUAUUCGGAAUCAUUGGGCUUAAAGGGUGCGUAGGCGGUGCGGUAAGUUGGGUGUGAAAUCCCUCGGCUCAACCGAGGAACUGCGCCCAAAACUACCGUGCUAGAGGGAGACAGAGGUGAGUGGAACUGAUGGUGGAGCGGUGAAAUGCGUUGAUAUCAUCAGGAACACCAGUGGCGAAAGCGGCUCACUGGGUCUCUUCUGACGCUGAGGCACGAAAGCUAGGGUAGCGAACGGGAUUAGAUACCCCGGUAGUCCUAGCUGUAAACGAUGAGCACUUGGUCGGGGAUCCCCCCAUAGGUUCCCGGUCGUAGCGAAAGUGAUAAGUGCUCCGCCUGGGGAGUAUGGUCGCAAGGCUGAAACUCAAAGGAAUUGACGGGGGCUCACACAAGCGGUGGAGGAUGUGGCUUAAUUCGAGGCUACGCGAAGAACCUUAUCCUGGAUUUGACAUCAACGGAUGGCAUGCCUGAAAGGGAUGUGUCUGCCUUCGGGUGAAACGUUGACAGGUGCUGCAUGGCUGUCGUCAGCUCGUGUCGUGAGAUGUCGGGUUAAGUCCCUUAACGAGCGAAACCCUUGUCACUAGUUGCCAGCGCGUAAUGGCGGGGACUCUAGUGAGACUGCCGGUGUUAAACCGGAGGAAGGUGGGGAUGACGUCAAGUCCUCAUGGCCUUUAUGUCCAGGGCUGCACACGUCCUACAAUGCCGCGCACAGAGGGAAGCGAACUCGCGAGAGUAAGCAAAUCCCAGAAAACGCGGCCCAGUUCGGAUUGCAGGCUGCAACUCGCCUGCAUGAAGCCGGAAUCGCUAGUAAUCGUGGGUCAGCAUACCACGGUGAAUGUGUUCCUGAGCCUUG